This 375-nucleotide ribosomal RNA is filed under the name Ptyodactylus cf. hasselquistii. RNAcentral's name for it is "partial 12S ribosomal RNA". It matches the Rfam family "Bacterial small subunit ribosomal RNA", at positions 801 to 1378 of the family's 1533-position model. The record is from RNAcentral. Lineage: Eukaryota; Metazoa; Chordata; Lepidosauria; Squamata; Phyllodactylidae.
GUCAACCCAAGCAGCCACCACAAACCGCUGCUCGCCAGAGAAGUACAGGUGAAAAACCAGAAACUCAAAGGACUUGGCGGUGCCCCACACCAACCUAGAGGAGCCUGUCCCAUAAUCGAUACCCCACGUUACACCUAACCUACUUUUGCCAUUCAGCCUAUAUACCGCCGUCGCCAGCCUGCCUAAUGAUAGACCCCAUAGCAAGCAAAAUAGCCCUCACUAACACGUCAGGUCAAGGUGUAGCUAAUAAGUAGGUCUCAGAUGGGCUACAUUUUCUAAACACAAGAAAAACACCACAAGCACGAUGAAACAUAAGCUGCAAGGUGGAUUUAGCAGUAAAUAGGGCAAGAAAGCCCAAUUGAAACCUGCUCUGGG